GAUGAACGCUGGCGGCGUGCCUAACACAUGCAAGUCGAACGGGGUAUAUCCGCCGAUGAAGCUUCGGCCGAAUCAUGGGUAUACUUAGUGGCGAACGGGUGAGUAACGCGUGGGCAACCUGCCCCGUACCGGGGGAUAGCAGUCGGAAACGACUGAUAAUACCGCAUAAGCGCACGGUCUCGCAUGAGGCAGUGUGAAAAACUCCGGUGGUACGGGAUGGGCCCGCGUCUGAUUAGCCAGUUGGCGGGGUAACGGCCCACCAAAGCGACGAUGGGUAGGGGUUCUGAGAGGAAGGUCCCCCACAUUGGAACUGAGACACGGUCCAGACUCC
RNAcentral lists this ribosomal RNA (331 nucleotides) under uncultured Butyrivibrio sp. Its description in RNAcentral is "bacterial SSU rRNA". It matches the Rfam family "Bacterial small subunit ribosomal RNA", at positions 28 to 339 of the family's 1533-position model. Lineage: Bacteria; Bacillati; Bacillota; Clostridia; Lachnospirales; Lachnospiraceae. The record is from RNAcentral.